CGGACGGGUGAGUAACGCGUGGGUAACCUGCCCUGUACAGGGGGAUAACAGCUGGAAACGGCUGCUAAUACCGCAUAAGCGCACGAGGAGACAUCUCCUUGUGUGAAAAACUCCGGUGGUACAGGAUGGGCCCGCGUCUGAUUAGCUGGUUGGCAGGGUAACGGCCUACCAAGGCAACGAUCGGUAGCCGAACUGAGAGGUUGAUCGGCCGCAUUGGGACUGAGACACGGCCCAGACUCCUACGGGAGGCAGCAUG
RNAcentral lists this ribosomal RNA (256 nucleotides) under uncultured bacterium. RNAcentral's name for it is "partial 16S ribosomal RNA". It matches the Rfam family "Bacterial small subunit ribosomal RNA", at positions 99 to 353 of the family's 1533-position model. The record is from RNAcentral.